Molecule: long non-coding RNA, 923 nt
Filed under: Carica papaya (papaya)
Lineage: Eukaryota; Viridiplantae; Streptophyta; Magnoliopsida; Brassicales; Caricaceae
Description: long non-coding RNA (CPAP_LNC013586)
Source: RNAcentral
ACAACCUAAAUGAUGAGAAAUAAAAUUAUAUUUUUUAUCCUAAAAAUCAACAUGGUAUCAGAGCUAAAGUAAAACUAUUUUAAGGUUUUGAAAAAAGUCUUAAAAUGGCAAAAUAGGUUGAGUAGAAAGACCCAGAUCAGAAGAGAGGGAGAUUAGAAGAAGAGAGGUCAGAGCAGAGGAAGAAAGAGAGUAGCCGGCCUCCAUUGCACGCAGAGCCGUGCGAAGACAGAGCCUCGGAAUCCGUCUUUUUCAGUCGUGCGUAGAGUCGUGUUCGUCUCAAGUUCUUCUUUAGUCGUGCGCAGGGACGUGUUAACCCUGGGUCUAUUCUUCUUCAAUUGCACACAGAGACGCGCAAAAAAAACCAAUCAACCCAACUUCUUUUUCCACUGUAUGCAGAGCCACACGAAGAGCUACGCGAUCUGGUUCUCCUUCCUCCGCGCGUAGAGCCGCGCAAAGUGCCGAACAACCAGCUUCUUCUUUGCCGCACGCAGAGCCGCUCAACAGGAAGCUUUUUUGGCCGUGAUCUCUACUUCACGUAGAUCUACCUGAGCUGAGAUGAGCCUUGAGCCGAGCCGAGUUCGAGCCAUUUUUGAGCCGAACCUGAGUUGUUUUGAGCCGAAGCCUAACCGUGCCGCCACCUAACAUAUCUUAUUUUAGUUUGCAACUUGAUCUGCAAAUUAGGCAUGAAAAAUAUCCCUGCACCAACUUGAGGGGGGAUGUUGAAUAGGAUAUUUCUUUUUUUAUUAUUUAAAUUACUUUAUUAUUUAAUUAGAUAAUUUAAUGUAAUUAGAAGUUUACUACAAUAGGAAUUUCCUUAUUAGUAGAAUAUGUAUUCUAUAAAUAUUCAAGUGUAACAACCUAAAAGGUGAGAAAUAAAAUUAUAUUUUUUCUCCUAAAAAUCAACAUAAAUGUAUUCAGUUCAG